GACGAACGCUGGCGGCGUGCUUAACACAUGCAAGUCGAGCGGAAAGGCCCUUCGGGGUACUCGAGCGGCGAACGGGUGGGUAACACGUGAGUAACCUGCCCCAGACUUUGGGAUAACCCUCGGAAACGGGGGCUAAUACCGGAUACGACGCAGCUUCGCAUGGGGUCUGUGUGGAAAGUUUUUCGGUUUGGGAUGGGCUCGCGGCCUAUCAGCUUGUUGGUGGGGUGAUGGCCUACCAAGGCGACGACGGGUAGCCGGCCUGAGAGGGCGACCGGCCACACUGGGACUGAGACACGGCCCAGACUCCUACGGGAGGCAGCAGUGGGGAAUAUUGCACAAUGGGCGGAAGCCUGAUGCAGCGACGCCGCGUGAGGGAUGACGGCCUUCGGGUUGUAAACCUCUUUCAGCAGGGACGAAGCGUAAGUGACGGUACCUGCAGAAGAAGCGCCGGCCAACUACG
Molecule: ribosomal RNA, 460 nt
Filed under: uncultured bacterium
Lineage: Bacteria
Description: partial 16S ribosomal RNA
Rfam family: Bacterial small subunit ribosomal RNA
Source: RNAcentral